GACGAACGCUGGCGGCGUGCCUAAUACAUGCAAGUCGAGCGAAUCAAUAGGAGCUUGCUCCUGUUGAUUAGCGGCGGACGGGUGAGUAACACGUGGGCAACCUGCCUGUAAGACUGGGAUAACUUCGGGAAACCGGAGCUAAUACCGGAUAAUUCUUUUCCUCUCAUGAGGAAAAGCUGAAAGUCGGUUUCGGCUGACACUUACAGAUGGGCCCGCGGCGCAUUAGCUAGUUGGUGAGGUAACGGCUCACCAAGGCGACGAUGCGUAGCCGACCGGAGAGGGUGAUCGGCCACACUGGGACUGAGACACGGCCCAGACUCCUACGGGAGGCAGCAGUAGGGAAUCUUCCGCAAUGGACGAAAGUCUGACGGAGCAACGCCGCGUGAGCGAUGAAGGCCUUCGGGUCGUAAAGCUCUGUUGUUAGGGAAGAACAAGUAUCGGAGUAACUGCCGGUACCUUGACGGUACCUAACCAGAAAGCCACGGCUAACUACGUGCCAGCCGCCGCAGUAA
Molecule: ribosomal RNA, 512 nt
Filed under: uncultured bacterium
Lineage: Bacteria
Description: partial 16S ribosomal RNA
Rfam family: Bacterial small subunit ribosomal RNA
Source: RNAcentral